Molecule: ribosomal RNA, 1337 nt
Filed under: uncultured bacterium
Lineage: Bacteria
Description: bacterial SSU rRNA
Rfam family: Bacterial small subunit ribosomal RNA
Source: RNAcentral
GGAUGAACGCUAGCGGGAGGCUUAACACAUGCAAGUCGAGGGGCAGCAUAGGGUAGCAAUACUCUGAUGGCGACCGGCAAACGGGUGAGUAACGCGUAUGUAACCUACCCUGUACAGGGGGAUAACCCGGAGAAAUUCGGACUAAUAUCCCAUAACAAUAUCCGGGGGCAUCUUUGGAUAUUUAAAGUUCCGGCGGUACGGGAUGGGCAUGCGUAACAUUAGCUAGUUGGUAAGGUAACGGCUUACCAAGGCUUUGAUGUUUAGGGGUCCUGAGAGGGUGGUCCCCCACACUGGUACUGAGACACGGACCAGACUCCUACGGGAGGCAGCAGUGAGGAAUAUUGGUCAAUGGGCGCAAGCCUGAACCAGCCAUCCCGCGUGCAGGAAGACGGCGCUAUGCGUUGUAAACUGCUUUUCCAGGGAGAGAAACUUGCGCACGUGUUGCGCAAUUGACGGUACCCUGGGAAUAAGCAUCGGCUAACUCCGUGCCAGCAGCCGCGGUAAUACGGAGGAUGCGAGCGUUAUCCGGAUUCAUUGGGUUUAAAGGGUGCGUAGGCGGACUAUUAAGUCAGUGGUGAAAUCCUGCAGCUUAACUGCAGAACUGCCAUUGAUACUGAUAGCCUUGAGUUUGGUUAAGGUAGGCGGAAUGUGUAAUGUAGCGGUGAAAUGCUUAGAUAUUACACAGAGCACCAAUUGCGUAGGCAGCUUACUGAGCCGACACUGACGCUGAGGCACGAAAGCGUGGGGAUCGAACAGGAUUAGAUACCCUGGUAGUCCACGCCGUAAACGAUGAUUACUCGCUGUUGGCGAUACACUGUCAGCGGCUAAGCAAAAGCAAUAAGUAAUCCACCUGGGGAGUACGGCCGCAAGGUUGAAACUCAAAGGAAUUGACGGGGGCCCGCACAAGCGGAGGAACAUGUGGUUUAAUUCGAAGCAACGCGCAGAACCUUACCAACCCUUGACAUGGAUAUCGCGGACCUGGAGACAGGUCUUUCAGUUCGGCUGGAUAUCACACAGGUGCUGCAUGGCUGUCGUCAGCUCGUGUCGUGAGAUGUUCGGUUAAGUCCGGCAACGAGCGCAACCCACAUUUUUAGUUGCCAGCAUUCAGUUGGGCACUCUAGAGAAACUGCCGGUGAUAAGCCGGAGGAAGGUGUGGAUGACGUCAAGUCCUCAUGGCCCUUACGGGUUGGGCUACACACGUGCUACAAUGGUGGUGACAAUGGGUUAAUCCCAAAAAGCCAUCUCAGUUCGGAUUGGGGUCUGCAACUCGACCCCAUGGAGUCGGAAUCGCUAGUAAUCGCGUAACAGCAUGACGCGGUGAAUACGUUCCCGGGCCU